UAAAAAAAAAAAUUGAUGAAAAUUUUUUGAGGGAAAAAUCAUUACCUGACAAUUUGUCUCUCUAUUCACUAGGCUGCAACAUAAACUCUAUACACUAUAUGACUAACCUUUUUCUGCAGAUAUUCCUCUCUCUAAAGAAGUACUAAUCCCUUUUUGUCUCUUCCCAUAUUCGACUUUUCUUUGUAUGGUCGAAACAAUAGACGCUUUGAGCCUUUGAUGCACUUUCUCCUCCUCCCACUUUCUCAUCAUGACCCAACUG
RNAcentral lists this unclassified non-coding RNA (259 nucleotides) under Hevea brasiliensis (rubber tree). Lineage: Eukaryota; Viridiplantae; Streptophyta; Magnoliopsida; Malpighiales; Euphorbiaceae. The record is from RNAcentral.